Molecule: long non-coding RNA, 3553 nt
Organism: Xenopus laevis (African clawed frog)
Lineage: Eukaryota; Metazoa; Chordata; Amphibia; Anura; Pipidae
Exons: 6
Source: RefSeq, a predicted model, not a curated record
CUUAAUUUUAAUUGCUUCCAGAUAUUAAUGAGUGCAUGAGUAAUAUCUCUGUCUGUGAUGAACAUAGCACCUGUCUGAAUACCAACAGCAGCUACAUUUGCGAAUGCAACGACGGAUUCACAAACGAUAAUGGCUCUUGCAUAGAUAUUAAUGAAUGUGCAUCAAAUACCACAAACAACUGCUCAAGCAAUGCAUUCUGCUCUAACAUAGCUGGCUCAUAUGUCUGUCAGUGCUUUAGCAACUAUAUGGGUGAUGGUGUCAAUUGCACAGCUCCUUUCAAUAUUGCAAGUCUGAUCAUAGACAAUAUCACCACCACUUCGGUGUCCCUAAGUUGGCCUAUUCCAUUAGGAAAUAUCAGGUCUUAUAUUGUGCAAGUCUUAGGGACUCCAUCAAAGGAACUGACGGUGUAUACAAAUUCUGUCGUUGUGAAUCAGCUGAUACCUGGAAAUUAUUAUACAUUCAUGGUGUUUGCUACAAACGGGAAUAUGAAUGGCACAACAACACAGAAUUCUACAUUUACACGUAAGUAUAGUAAAGUCUUUGUAAGAGAUCCAGUGACUACAAUUAAAAAUGCUGUUUUAAUAGAGCCAGUUCUUCAGUUUCAAUUUUAAAUGUUGCUUUUAAAUUGUAUUGCAAGUUCUGCCAUAAUUAACUUUUAAUCUGAUUUUAAAGAUAAACACAUAUUUGCAUCAUUUGCCUUAGCAAAGCAGUAAUGUCCCUCAUUGUAUAGUAAAUGAAUUUUGUACUGGCAAGCAUGUCAUGUAAGGCUACAAGCAAAUCUUUCCUUAUCAACUACAUGUUCUCUUAUGUUUUCCUCUCCUUUGCACUAUAUCACUUCUACUGUGAAAGACAAAUAUAGAAAGCAUUCUGUAUCUAGAGCUUGCAGUGUUGGGCAUGGUUGCUGGCAGAUGUUGCAACCACUCACACAUCUUAUCUAUGGUACAAGGUGAUAACCUCUAGAUAACAUCAAUGGACCUCAAAAAAUACACAUAACUGAUCACUCACUAAGGGGCAUAAUUCUUAUUGUGUAACUUUUCAUUGACUAAAAAACUCCUCUAAACUUGAUUUAUUUUACUUUCUAAAAAAACACAAUUAGUACCAUAUUUAUUAAAAGCCAUGGUGGCAUCAAAACCAUCCAAAGUUGUCUUCCUCAAAACCCCCCCCAAAAAAUGCAAAUUCAUGACAUUUUAUUUCUACCUUGAAAAAAGCGAAUCGAUAAAAUCGUGAAUUUUAAAUAGACAUACAUUUACACGCAUUCGGUCUUAGAUUUCAAACAAGACGUCCCCCAGCAGCCAUUUUUAAAACUUCAGCGCACAUUUUCAUCACUUGCAUUUUGGAUAGCAUAAGAGAAGUUUUUUUUUUCAGAACUGCCCGAUAGCCAAGCACAUUUGCCACAGUGGCCAGCAGUGAUAGAAGGAAGGAGAAGGAUUAAAGUGGAGGGACUCAGAAGGGGGCCCAGAGGAGUUAAAGGGGAAGGCUACUCUCCAACUAGCCCUGAGCCCCAAGGGAGGGAUCCAUUUGUGCACCACAGAAAUUGGUCAGAGAGAGGGAAAGGAGUUGUGGGAAGAGGGAGGUUGGGCAGGAGUCUGGUAUAGGAGUAGUGACCAAUGGAGGGGCUUUUGACCCUUGAGAGGAGAUGGAGGUGGAGGCUAAAGAGGCCUGGGAGAGGGGCCCAGAGGAAAGCUCAGCAGGAAGGGGGUCCUCGGCAGGGAGAAGGGCCAGCAGCUAGUGACUCACAUGGAUUGAAGAGGAGGGCCACAGGCAAACAAAGGAGGAGGGCAAGAUCAUUAAGGAUAGUGUGACUUGUUUGGUGCUCAUUUCCUCAAAUCCCUGCUGCCAGAUGCAAACAUCUCUGGCAACAGGUAGCCGAACGUAUGUGCUGGAACUGUUCUGCGCCGUAACGACACAUGUUGCACAAGCGAUUCAGUGACCUGAAGCGUAUUAGAAAUAAGCUGGUGAUGUGGAGGACUACAGUCUAGAAGGUUCAAAGAGAGCUUCUACCACCACUCAGACUGAAGCCCUAUCAGCGUUACCUUCUGGACUAUAUGGGUGAAGAGGAAUGAGGAAAAGUUUAAAGGCGAAUAUCUGGACACAGAUUCAAGUAAGUUUAAUUUCUUUUGACAAUUUUUUAUCAGUUAUAAAGUUCUUUACUUGUUAGCUGUGCUGAAGUAUGUAGACAGAUCUUCUUUAUCAUUCACAGCAACUACAAAUUGAAUUAGCUUCCUUGGCCAAAAUGUCUCCUCACACCCACUGAUAAAAAUAGAUUGGUCAUUAAAGAACAUUUGCCUUCCACCAACCUUGCUAAAUAGCUUGCAUUCUGCUGUAACAGAUUGUAUCACUAUUUCAGCAUUUUACCUUCACUUAACUUCAAUGUUCCCCAUAACAUUUUCCCUAGAUGUGUAAAUCCCAAUUAGCCAGGCAUCCAGGCAUAUUUAUAUUUCAAUUCAUUUCUAACCCCAUGGAAUGCAGCUGCAAGGACACUAAGGAGUGCAGGAGUACACUCUGCUCUGCAACAAUUGCACAGUAACAUACUAUACUUGCUUUAGCAGUUGGCCCUUUUUUAAUAAAAAGCAAUUGAUGCUCAGUUGCAUCUUGUGUACCAAGUUAACCCACAUGCCACUCAGCUUUAGUACAUGAACAUCAUAUUUGUGGUGGGGUCAGCCCACAUAAAUUUUUUAUGAAAAUGGUGUAUCAAGAAUGUUGGUCACACUACUUUUUUUCCCCUUGUUUGUUUCCCUUUGGUCUUUCCUUAUCUUGUUGCUCAAGUGCCAAGAGACUUCUCAUCAGACCCCUGCAGAGGAAGCAGCGCAGCCUUCGAAUGGCAACGGGGCAGAGGUGCAUGAGUCCGUCGAGCCUCAAGCAAACUGGACCCCACAACCGGACCUUGCCCACGUGGCCUGUAUGACCCCCAGGUUUCAAGCGCCAAGACUGCCCCAAGGACCCUCAGACACAAACACAUGGAAGAGACGUCUCAUCAGACCCCCUUUGAAGCAGCAGCGGAGCUCCCAGAUUUUCUUCUGCAAUUGCACGCUUGAUCAAUCUUUACAGUGUCAUCACCACUUCAGUGUCUCUAAGCUGAGCUAUUCCAUUAGGAAAUAAUUCCUAUAUCAUCCUAUUCUCAGGGACUUCAGCAAAGGAACUGAUAGUGAAUACAAAUACUUCCCUUGUGGAUGAACGGAUACUGGGGACAUGAGUGGCACCAAAACUGUGAAUUCUACAUGUACAUGCAUUUUAAAGCGUUCUAGAGACUACACAUAAAAAUGUACCUCUAAUAUCGCCAGUUCUACAGUUAUAUUUUUUUCUCUAUUCUCUAUGAACAUAUACUUUGAAAUUCUGUUAAGCCAAGUUAUUUAAGACUAAAUGACAAUUUGUUAGGCAACCCCCAAGUAAGCAACAUCAUUUAUACUGGGACAGUGCCUCUCUUCUCCCUAGGGCAGUUCAUUUUUAAACAUGAGCUAUAAAAAUAUCACCACUUCAUGGUAAAAUGUGGUACAGGUAUGGGAUCUGUUAUCCGGAAACCCAUAAUCCAGGAUGUUCUGAAUUACUAAAAGGC